This 442-nucleotide ribosomal RNA is filed under the name uncultured bacterium. Its description in RNAcentral is "partial 16S ribosomal RNA". It matches the Rfam family "Bacterial small subunit ribosomal RNA", at positions 338 to 795 of the family's 1533-position model. The record is from RNAcentral.
CCUACGGGUGGCAGCAGUGGGGAAUAUUGGGCAAUGGGCGCGAGCCUGACCCAGCCACGCCGCGUGAAGGAAGACGGCUUUCUGGUUGUUAACCUCUUUUAAGAGGGAAGUGAAGAAGACGGUACCUCUUGAAUAAUCCACGGCUAACUACGUGCCAGCAGCCGCGGUAAUACGUAGGUUCCAAGCGUUAUCCGGAUUUACUGGGUUGAAAGGGCGUGUAGCCGGGCUGACAAGUCAGAUGUGAAAGUCCGGGGCUCAACCGCGGACCUGCAUUUGAAACUGUUAGUCUUGAGUAUCGGAGAGGCAGGCGGAAUUCGUGGUGUAGCGGUGAAAUGCGUAGAUAUUAGGAGGAACACCAGUGGCGAAGGCAGCUUGCUGGACGACAACUGACGGUGAGGCGCGAAAGCGUGGGGAGCAAACAGGAUUAGAUACCCUGGUAGUC